Molecule: ribosomal RNA, 373 nt
Filed under: uncultured bacterium
Lineage: Bacteria
Description: bacterial SSU rRNA
Rfam family: Bacterial small subunit ribosomal RNA
Source: RNAcentral
UAAUACGGAGGUGGCAAGCGUUACUCGGAAUCAUUGGGUGUAAAGGGUAGGUAGGCGGCCUGAUAAGUGAGGGGUGAAAUCCUGCGGCUCAAUCGCAGAACUGCCUUUCAAACUGUCAGGCUUGAGAGUGGAAGAGGAGAAUGGAAUUCUCGGUGUAAGGGUGAAAUCUGUAGAUAUCGAGAAGAACACCAGCGGCGAAGGCGAUUCUCUGGUCCAUUUCUGACGCUGAUCUACGAAAGCUAGGGGAGCAAACAGAAUUAGAUACUCUGGUAGUCCUAGCCGUAAACGAUGAGCACUAGGUGUUGGCCCUUCGGGGUCAGUGCCGCAGCCAACGCAUUAAGUGCUCCACCUGGGGACUACGGUCGCAAGGCUA